GCCUUUGUAGUAUAACUAUUAUUCUGGUCUUGUAAACCAGAGAUGGAGACUCACAUCUCCCAAAGACA
Molecule: transfer RNA, 68 nt
Filed under: Sorex isodon (even-toothed shrew)
Lineage: Eukaryota; Metazoa; Chordata; Mammalia; Eulipotyphla; Soricidae
Description: tRNA-Thr
Rfam family: tRNA
About the family: Transfer RNA (tRNA) molecules are approximately 80 nucleotides in length.
Source: RNAcentral